GAUGAAGAACGUAGUGAAAUGCGAUAAGUAAUGUGAAUUGCAGAAUUCAGUGAAUCAUCGAAUCUUUGAACGCACAUUGCGCCCCCUGGUAUUCCGGGGGGCAUGUCUGUCCGAGCGUCAUUACAACCCUCAAGCUCAGCUUGGUGUUGGGCCCCGCCGCCCCGGCGGGCCCUAAAGUCAGUGGCGGUGCCGUCCGGCUCCGAGCGUAGUAAUUCUUCUCGCUCUGGAGGUCCGGUCGUGUGCUCGCCAGCAACCCCCAAUUUUUUUCAGGUUGACCUCGGAUCAGGUAGGGAUACCCGCUGAACUUAAGCAUAUCAAUAAGCGGAGGA
RNAcentral lists this unclassified non-coding RNA (329 nucleotides) under soil metagenome. RNAcentral describes it as "partial contains 5.8S ribosomal RNA, internal transcribed spacer 2, and large subunit ribosomal RNA". The stretch from base 1 to 120 matches the Rfam family "5.8S ribosomal RNA", at positions 35 to 154 of the family's 154-position model. The record is from RNAcentral.